This 429-nucleotide ribosomal RNA is filed under the name uncultured bacterium. RNAcentral describes it as "bacterial SSU rRNA". It matches the Rfam family "Bacterial small subunit ribosomal RNA", at positions 355 to 775 of the family's 1533-position model. The record is from RNAcentral.
UGAGGAAUCUUGCGCAAUGGGGGAAACCCUGACGCAGCAACGCCGCGUGAGUGAGGAAGGCCUUCGGGUCGUAAAGCUCUGUCAGAUGGGAAGAAAUGGGUGGGGGCUAAUAUCGUCCACCCUUGACGGUACCAUCAGAGGAAGCACCGGCUAACUCCGUGCCAGCAGCCGCGGUAAUACGGGGAGUGCAAGCGUUGUUCGGAAUCAUUGGGCGUAAAGCGCGCGCAGGCGGCUUGGUAAGUCAGAUGUGAAAUCCCUGGGCUUAACCCAGGAAGUGCAUUUGAUACUGCCUCGCUAGAGUACGGGAGAGGAAAGUGGAAUUCCUGGUGUAGAGGUGAAAUUCGUAGAUAUCAGGAGGGACACCGGUGGCGAAGGCGACUUUCUGGCCCGAUACUGACGCUCAGGCGCGAAAGCGUGGGGAGCAAACAG